CAGUCGCCGCGGGAAUACGUAGGGUGCAAGCGUUAAUCGGAAUUACUGGGCGUAAAGCGUGCGCAGGCGGUUAUAUAAGACAGAUGUGAAAUCCUCGGGCUCAACCUGGGAACUGCAUUUGUGACUGUAUAGCUAGAGUACGGCAGAGGGGGAUGGAAUUCCGCGUGUAGCAGUGAAAUGCGUAGAUAUGCGGAGGAACACCGAUGGCGAAGGCAAUCCCAUGGGCCUGUACUGACGCUCAUGCACGAAAGCGUGGGGAGCAAACAGGAUUAGAUACCCCAGUAGUCCCUGUCUCUUAUAC
RNAcentral lists this ribosomal RNA (301 nucleotides) under uncultured bacterium. RNAcentral describes it as "partial 16S ribosomal RNA". It matches the Rfam family "Bacterial small subunit ribosomal RNA", at positions 509 to 807 of the family's 1533-position model. The record is from RNAcentral.